GCUUACUGUCACACAACCCUGAGAACGCUCGAUCUCGUCUGAUUUCGGAAGCUAAGCAGAGUUUGCCCUGGUUAGUACUUGGAUGGAAGACCAACUGGAAAUACCAGGUGCUUUAAGCU
RNAcentral lists this ribosomal RNA (119 nucleotides) under Astyanax mexicanus (Mexican tetra). Lineage: Eukaryota; Metazoa; Chordata; Actinopteri; Characiformes; Acestrorhamphidae. The record is from RNAcentral.